GACGAACGCUGGCGGCGUGCUUAACACAUGCAAGUCGAACGGAAAGGCCCUGCUUUUGUGGGGUGCUCGAGUGGCGAACGGGUGAGUAACACGUGAGUAACCUGCCCUUUACUUUUGGAUAACUUCAGGAAACUGGGGCUAAUACCGGAUAGGAUCUCCUGCUUCAUUGUGUGGGUUGGAAAGUUUCGGCGUUUGGGGAUUGACUCGCCGCUUAUCAGCUUGUUGGUGGGGUAGUUGCUUACCAAGGCUUUGACGGGUAGCCGGCCUGUGAGGGUGACCGGACACAUUGGGACUGAGAUACGGCACAGACUCCAACGGGAGGCAGCAGUGGGGAAUAGUGCACAAUGGGCGGAAGCCUGAUGCAGCAACGCCGCGUGCGGGAUGACGGCCUUCGGGUUGUAAACCGCUUUCGCCUGUGACGAAGCGUGAGUGACGGUAAUGGGUAAAGAAGCACCGGCUAACUACGUG
RNAcentral lists this ribosomal RNA (468 nucleotides) under uncultured bacterium. Its description in RNAcentral is "partial 16S ribosomal RNA". It matches the Rfam family "Bacterial small subunit ribosomal RNA", at positions 28 to 507 of the family's 1533-position model. The record is from RNAcentral.